This 2641-nucleotide ribosomal RNA is filed under the name Citrobacter freundii. RNAcentral's name for it is "partial 23S ribosomal RNA". It matches the Rfam family "Bacterial large subunit ribosomal RNA". The record is from RNAcentral. Lineage: Bacteria; Pseudomonadati; Pseudomonadota; Gammaproteobacteria; Enterobacterales; Enterobacteriaceae.
UAGCGUAAUGAAGCGAACCGGGGGAACUGAAACAUCUAAGUACCCCGAGGAAAAGAAAUCAACCGAGAUUCCCCCAGUAGCGGCGAGCGAACGGGGAGCAGCCCAGAGUCUGAAUCAGCUUGUGUGUUAGUGGAACGGUCUGGAAAGUCCGACGGUACAGGGUGAUAGUCCCGUACACCAAAAUGCACAGGUUGUGAACUCGAAGAGUAGGGCGGGACACGUGGUAUCCUGUCUGAAUAUGGGGGGACCAUCCUCCAAGGCUAAAUACUCCUGACUGACCGAUAGUGAACCAGUACCGUGAGGGAAAGGCGAAAAGAACCCCGGCGAGGGGAGUGAAAAAGAACCUGAAACCGUGUACGUACAAGCAGUGGGAGCCUCUUUAUGGGGUGACUGCGUACCUUUUGUAUAAUGGGUCAGCGACUUAUAUUCUGUAGCAAGGUUAACCGUAUAGGGGAGCCGAAGGGAAACCGAGUCUUAACUGGGCGUUAAGUUGCAGGGUAUAGACCCGAAACCCGGUGAUCUAGCCAUGGGCAGGUUGAAGGUUGGGUAACACUAACUGGAGGACCGAACCGACUAAUGUUGAAAAAUUAGCGGAUGACUUGUGGCUGGGGGUGAAAGGCCAAUCAAACCGGGAGAUAGCUGGUUCUCCCCGAAAGCUAUUUAGGUAGCGCCUCGUGAACUCAUCUUCGGGGGUAGAGCACUGUUUCGGCUAGGGGGUCAUCCCGACUUACCAACCCGAUGCAAACUGCGAAUACCGAAGAAUGUUAUCACGGGAGACACACGGCGGGUGCUAACGUCCGUCGUGAAGAGGGAAACAACCCAGACCGCCAGCUAAGGUCCCAAAGUCAUGGUUAAGUGGGAAACGAUGUGGGAAGGCACAGACAGCCAGGAUGUUGGCUUAGAAGCAGCCAUCAUUUAAAGAAAGCGUAAUAGCUCACUGGUCGAGUCGGCCUGCGCGGAAGAUGUAACGGGGCUAAACCAUGCACCGAAGCUGCGGCAGCGACACUAUGUGUUGUUGGGUAGGGGAGCGUUCUGUAAGCCGUUGAAGGUGUGCUGUGAGGCAUGCUGGAGGUAUCAGAAGUGCGAAUGCUGACAUAAGUAACGAUAAUGCGGGUGAAAAACCCGCACGCCGGAAGACCAAGGGUUCCUGUCCAACGUUAAUCGGGGCAGGGUGAGUCGACCCCUAAGGCGAGGCCGAAAGGCGUAGUCGAUGGGAAACAGGUUAAUAUUCCUGUACUUGGUGUUACUGCGAAGGGGGGACGGAGAAGGCUAUGUUAGCCGGGCGACGGUUGUCCCGGUUUAAGCAUGUAGGCGGAGGUUCCAGGUAAAUCCGGUACCUUUUUAACGCUGAGGUGUGAUGACGAGGCACUACGGUGCUGAAGUAACAAAUGCCCUGCUUCCAGGAAAAGCCUCUAAGCAUCAGGUAACACGAAAUCGUACCCCAAACCGACACAGGUGGUCAGGUAGAGAAUACCAAGGCGCUUGAGAGAACUCGGGUGAAGGAACUAGGCAAAAUGGUGCCGUAACUUCGGGAGAAGGCACGCUGAUAUGUAGGUGAAGCGGUUUACCCGUGGAGCUGAAAUCAGUCGAAGAUACCAGCUGGCUGCAACUGUUUAUUAAAAACACAGCACUGUGCAAACACGAAAGUGGACGUAUACGGUGUGACGCCUGCCCGGUGCCGGAAGGUUAAUUGAUGGGGUUAUCCGUAAGGAGAAGCUCUUGAUCGAAGCCCCGGUAAACGGCGGCCGUAACUAUAACGGUCCUAAGGUAGCGAAAUUCCUUGUCGGGUAAGUUCCGACCUGCACGAAUGGCGUAAUGAUGGCCAGGCUGUCUCCACCCGAGACUCAGUGAAAUUGAACUCGCUGUGAAGAUGCAGUGUACCCGCGGCAAGACGGAAAGACCCCGUGAACCUUUACUAUAGCUUGACACUGAACACUGGUCCUUGAUGUGUAGGAUAGGUGGGAGGCUUUGAAGUGUGGACGCCAGUCUGCAUGGAGCCAUCCUUGAAAUACCACCCUUUAAUGGCUGGUGUUCUAACGUGGACCCGUUACCCGGGUUGCGGACAGUGUCUGGUGGGUAGUUUGACUGGGGCGGUCUCCUCCUAAAGAGUAACGGAGGAGCACGAAGGUUAGCUAAUCCUGGUCGGACAUCAGGAGGUUAGUGCAAAGGCAUAAGCUAGCUUGACUGCGAGAGUGACGGCUCGAGCAGGUGCGAAAGCAGGUCUUAGUGAUCCGGUGGUUCUGAAUGGAAGGGCCAUCGCUCAACGGAUAAAAGGUACUCCGGGGAUAACAGGCUGAUACCGCCCAAGAGUUCAUAUCGACGGCGGUGUUUGGCACCUCGAUGUCGGCUCAUCACAUCCUGGGGCUGAAGUAGGUCCCAAGGGUAUGGCUGUUCGCCAUUUAAAGUGGUACGCGAGCUGGGUUUAGAACGUCGUGAGACAGUUCGGUCCCUAUCUGCCGUGGGCGCUGGAGAAUUGAGGGGGGCUGCUCCUAGUACGAGAGGACCGGAGUGGACGCAUCACUGGUGUUCGGGUUGUCAUGCCAAUGGCAUUGCCCGGUAGCUAAAUGCGGAAGAGAUAAGUGCUGAAAGCAUCUAAGCACGAAACUUGCCCCGAGAUGAGUUCUCCCUGAGACUAUAAGUC